This 407-nucleotide ribosomal RNA is filed under the name uncultured bacterium. Its description in RNAcentral is "bacterial SSU rRNA". It matches the Rfam family "Bacterial small subunit ribosomal RNA", at positions 29 to 430 of the family's 1533-position model. The record is from RNAcentral.
AGCGAACGUUUGCGGCGGGCCUAACACAUGCAAGUCGAACGAUAACCCAGCUUGCUGGGGGAAAGUGGCGCACGGGUGCGUAACACGUGGGUAAUCAACCCUUUGGAUCGGGACAACCCGGGGGAAACUCGGGCUAAUACCGGAUAAGUCGUGGGAGUCUUCGGGUACCCACGGGAAAGGCCCGCAAGGGCUACCAUUGGACGAGCUCGCGGCCCAUCAGCUUGUUGGUGAGGUAAUGGCUCACCAAGGCUAAGACGGGUAGCUGGUCUGAGAGGAUGAUCAGCCACACUGGAACUGAGACACGGUCCAGACUCCUACGGGAGGCAGCAGUGGGGAAUAUUGCGCAAUGGGCGAAAGACCUGACGCAGCCACGCCGCGUGUGCGAUGAAGGUCUUCGGAUCGUAAAG